AUGACUUCUUGUUUAUGGCCUGGGCCUCUUCAAGCGUUGGAGAUAGGCCCAGGCCAACAUCACUUCUUCAUUAGGCCCAGGCCUCUUCAAGGGUCAGGGAUAGGCCCAGGCCCACAUCACUUCUUGCUUUUGGCCCGGGCCUCUUCAAGGGUCAGGGAUAGGCCCAGGCCCAUAUCGCUUCUUGCAUUAGGCCCGGGCC
Molecule: long non-coding RNA, 199 nt
Filed under: Mus spicilegus (steppe mouse)
Lineage: Eukaryota; Metazoa; Chordata; Mammalia; Rodentia; Muridae
Description: lncRNA (ENSMSIG00000000136.1)
Source: RNAcentral